AGAAAGAUCAUCAGAGUUUCAUCAUGUCAAAACUACUUUUACACGGUGGAUCUUAAAAUAUCUAAUGAUGAAAAUUAUAAAAAUGCUUAAGAAACUUCUCAGUAAUCAAAAGUAAAAUUUGAUUAAGCUAAAGAAAAGACUAAAUAAUCUUUACAUCCACCCUAUAGAAAAUCAUAUUUCAAAUUAUGGUUCUAUGAACAGAUGAUGAAAUAUUAUUCUGGACAAAUUAAGAACAAAGUAUACAGAAUGUGAGAGGAAUUUCACCUGCUGGGCCAAAUGUGUGGUGAAAGGAAGAACCUUCUCUGGGAGGCAGGAAUUCUUGAUCUAAGGAGGACAAAAACAGACUUCUGAUGCGGAUCUCUUAGAAGAAGAAAUGACAGGGAAGGACAAAGAAACCUUGGACUUGAAAUGGUUAAACAAAUAUUGAUAUGAGAGGUGUAACAAAAAUAACAUUAUGGACUUGACUUCAGAUGGCCUAUGGUAAAUGUAGGUUAUCCAGCUCACAACUGAAUGGAUGUCCUUGCCUCUAAAUGUUAGAUGAUAAUAAAGGGUCCUGUCAGACUUGUAGCAAUGAUACAUGCUU
Molecule: long non-coding RNA, 583 nt
Filed under: Homo sapiens (human)
Lineage: Eukaryota; Metazoa; Chordata; Mammalia; Primates; Hominidae
Description: HSALNT0192362
Source: RNAcentral